AGUGAACGCUGGCGGUAGGCCUAACACAUGCAAGUCGAACGGCAGCACAGUAAGAGCUUGCUCUUACGGGUGGCGAGUGGCGGACGGGUGAGGAAUACAUCGGAAUCUACUUUUUCGUGGGGGAUAACGUAGGGAAACUUACGCUAAUACCGCAUACGACCUACGGGUGAAAGCAGGGGAUCUUCGGACCUUGCGCGAUUGAAUGAGCCGAUGUCGGAUUAGCUAGUUGGCGGGAUAAAGGCCCACCAAGGCGACGAUCCGUAGCUGGUCUGAGAGGAUGAUCAGCCACACUGGAACUGAGACACGGUCCAGACUCCUACGGGAGGCAGCAGUGGGGAAUAUUGGACAAUGGGCGCAAGCCUGAGCCAGCCAUACCGCGUGGGUGAAGAAGGCCUUCGGGUUGUAAAGCCCUUUUGUUGGGAAAGAAAAGCAGCAGGUUAAUACCCCGCUGUUCUGACGGUACCCAAAGAAUAAGCACCGGCUAACUUCGUGC
Molecule: ribosomal RNA, 493 nt
Filed under: uncultured bacterium
Lineage: Bacteria
Description: partial 16S ribosomal RNA
Rfam family: Bacterial small subunit ribosomal RNA
Source: RNAcentral